CAGCAGCCGCGGGAAUACAGAGGGUGCAAGCGUUAAUCGGAAUUACUGGGCGUAAAGCGCGCGUAGGUGGUUCGCCAAGUUGGAUGUGAAAUCCCCGGGCUCAACCUGGGAACUGCAUCCAAAACUGGCGAGCUAGAGUACGGUAGAGGGUGGUGGAAUUUCCUGUGUAGCGGUGAAAUGCGUAGAUAUAGGAAGGAACACCAGUGGCGAAGGCGACCACCUGGACUGAUACUGACACUGAGGUGCGAAAGCGUGGGGAGCAAACAGGAUUAGAUACCCCCGUAGUCCCUGUCUCUUAUAC
Molecule: ribosomal RNA, 301 nt
Filed under: uncultured bacterium
Lineage: Bacteria
Description: partial 16S ribosomal RNA
Rfam family: Bacterial small subunit ribosomal RNA
Source: RNAcentral